GAUGAAGAACGUAGUGAAAUGCGAUAAGUAGUGUGAAUUGCAGAAUUCAGUGAAUCAUCGAAUCUUUGAACGCACAUUGCGCCCCAUGGUAUUCCGUGGGGCAUGCCUGUUCGAGCGUCAUUUACCCCCUCAAGCUCCGCUUGGUGUUGGGCGUCUGUCCCGCUUCGCGCGCGGACUCGCCCCAAAGGUAUUGGCAGCGGUCGUGCCAGCUUCUCGCGCAGCACAUUGCGCUUCUCGAGGCACCGGUGGGCCCGCGUCCAUCAAGCUCACCCCCCCAGUUUGACCUCGGAUCAGGUAGGGAUACCCGCUGAACUUAAGCAUACAAAAAGCGGAGGA
RNAcentral lists this unclassified non-coding RNA (336 nucleotides) under soil metagenome. RNAcentral describes it as "partial contains 5.8S ribosomal RNA, internal transcribed spacer 2, and large subunit ribosomal RNA". The stretch from base 1 to 120 matches the Rfam family "5.8S ribosomal RNA", at positions 35 to 154 of the family's 154-position model. The record is from RNAcentral.